Molecule: transfer RNA, 67 nt
Filed under: Rattus norvegicus (Norway rat)
Lineage: Eukaryota; Metazoa; Chordata; Mammalia; Rodentia; Muridae
Rfam family: tRNA
About the family: Transfer RNA (tRNA) molecules are approximately 80 nucleotides in length. Their secondary structure includes four short double-helical elements and three loops (D, anti-codon, and T loops).
Source: Rfam by way of RNAcentral
GGGGAUUUAGCUCAGUGGUAGAGCGCUUGCCUAGCAAGCUAGGCCCUGGGUUCGGUCCCCAGCUCCG